RNAcentral lists this ribosomal RNA (447 nucleotides) under uncultured bacterium. RNAcentral's name for it is "bacterial SSU rRNA". It matches the Rfam family "Bacterial small subunit ribosomal RNA", at positions 329 to 793 of the family's 1533-position model. The record is from RNAcentral.
UGCCAGACUCCUACGGGAGGCAGCAGUGGGGAAUAUUGCACAAUGGGGGAAACCCUGAUGCAGCGACGCCGCGUGAGUGAAGAAGUAUUUCGGUAUGUAAAGCUCUAUCAGCAGGGAAGAAAAUGACGGUACCUGACUAAGAAGCCCCGGCUAACUACGUGCCAGCAGCCGCGGUAAUACGUAGGGGGCAAGCGUUAUCCGGAUUUACUGGGUGUAAAGGGAGCGUAGACGGCAUGGCAAGUCAGAUGUGAAAGCCCGGGGCUCAACCCCGGGACUGCAUUUGAAACUGUCAGGCUGGAGUGCAGGAGAGGUAAGUGGAAUUCCUAGUGUAGCGGUGAAAUGCGUAGAUAUUAGGAGGAACACCAGUGGCGAAGGCGGCCUGCUGGACGACAACUGACGGUGAGGCGCGAAAGCGUGGGGAGCAAACAGGAUUAGAUACCCCUGUAC